This 330-nucleotide long non-coding RNA is filed under the name Prunus dulcis (almond). RNAcentral's name for it is "sRNA ncRNA". The record is from RNAcentral. Lineage: Eukaryota; Viridiplantae; Streptophyta; Magnoliopsida; Rosales; Rosaceae.
ACAAAUCAAACAUCAGCUUCCGACAACGAAGCCCCCAAGUUCACAAUUGAAGAAUACAGUCAACUUAAGUCUCUUCUUCACAAUGGUACAAUAUCUCCUUUUUGCGCCAGCGCCAAUAAGUCAUCACCAUCCACAACAUCUUGGAUACUUGACAGCGGAGUCACCGAUUAUGUCGCUCCUCCUUCUAUGUUAAACACAUUGAAAAUUGCACCUUUGUUUUCCCCAUAUUCGGUUUACAUACAGGUAGUUCCUGAUGGUAUGGUAAUCGAGUUAAUAAUGAGCAAAUUCCAGACCCUUUGGACCAAUAUGUUAGAACCUUUAUGCUACUAA